CGUCUUAUUAACGAUCACCCACCACUUGACAUGCUUACACACUCACACUCACACACACAUGCACACAGACGCGGCAGAGCAGUGCCCAACAUCCACCCCUCCCACGGAGGAGCCCGGAGGAGCCCGACGACCGCACAUGGCGACAGGACACCCGCCUCUGGAACAGCUGGCUCUCCUCCUCCUCUCAGCUGACGCGUAGACCCUUCUCUUCGAGUAUUUGACAGACUGUGUGUGACACUCGCUUGUACUGGGUGUCAGUUUGUCAAAUACCCCAAGAGAGGGGUCAUUACUCGCCGGGACGUACAGACCAGACACCUGCCACAGACCACGCCCCCGUGGGAGGGCGAGGGUGAGAGGUGCCCGCCUCCGGACUGGUGAGACCCACCCCCGCCCUCGGAACCAGACAGACCAUUAUAGCAUUAGACAAAACAUCAAUAAAAUGUUUAGGUUUAUGCAAAAAAAUUAUGUAAAAAAUGUAAUUGCUUUGUAAUUAUGAUCCCUUAUAUACACAUAUUUUCAUAUAUGGUCUCUUUUCUACUGGACACAUCAAGAUCAUAGAAUAUGUAAAUUUAGAUUUAAUAUGAAGUAUUACAUACAUUUAGGGGCUGUUCUAACUUAAGUAAGAAAUGUCAGUUAUGUUGUUAGUAUUCUGCUCUCAGAGAUCAACCUCAUCUUCUCAUGCUUGUCCUUAAUGUGCUUAAAUGAAUAAAGAAAAUAACUAAAAUGCA
This is a long non-coding RNA of Electrophorus electricus (electric eel), 728 nucleotides long. RefSeq lists it as uncharacterized. NCBI's taxonomy places the organism in Eukaryota, Metazoa, Chordata, Actinopteri, Gymnotiformes, Gymnotidae. The record is from RefSeq and is a predicted model, not a curated record.